GCAAUAAACAAAUCUGCAGAACAUGCUUUACCUUGAUGCCUUUGGUUCUAGCAUUCCUAUUAGGUGCCCGUUUGAUCAUGACGAACCUUUCAAAUCUAUAGCUCACCUCCUUUGUGAAUAUAUAUGCCUGGAGCUGGCGACUGAGACAAUAUAGUAUUUAUUGUGUCAUAAAGAGAGAGCUAUAUCUAGGAAGGGCGGAGGGAGAAGAUGGGUAAAAGAUGAGAUUUUUUUCCUCUUUUCUACUUGCUAAUUACAGUGGGCAGGCAUUUGGGAUCUGCGAUGUAAAGCAGAGUGGAUCCAAUAACUAGAAGGAGGAGUAGAGAGAAAUGGGUAGGAAACUCGGUUCCACAAGCGCGAUUUGCCUUGAGGAGUAAGUACUGACGUGUGAAAGACGAAGCAGAAGUCGGUUGUGAAUCCCAGUUGGGAGUUAAAUGCGAAAAUGACGCGUUGUAGGGUUGCCAGAGGAGCAGAACAGCUUUUAACCGUCCAACCAUCCUAAUAUUAUUUCCGGCCUUCGGGGGGGCAACGUUGGA
Molecule: unclassified non-coding RNA, 533 nt
Filed under: Hevea brasiliensis (rubber tree)
Lineage: Eukaryota; Viridiplantae; Streptophyta; Magnoliopsida; Malpighiales; Euphorbiaceae
Source: RNAcentral